GGUUGUCGUCAGCUCGUGUCGUGAGAUGUUGGGUUAAGUCCCGCAACGAGCGCAACCCCUAUUGUUAGUUGCCAUCAUUCAGUUGGGCACUCUAGCGAGACUGCCGGUAAUAAACCGGAGGAAGGUGGGAUGACGUCAAAUCAUCAUGCCCCUUAUGACCUGGGCUACACACGUGCUACAAUGGUUGGUACAACGAGUUGCGAGUCGGUGACGGCGAGCUAAUCUCUUAAAGCCAAUCUCAGUUCGGAUUGUAGGCUGCAACUCGCCUACAUGAAGUCGGAAUCGCUAGUAAUCGCGGAUCAGCACGCCGCGGUCGAAUACGUUCCCGGGCCUU
This 334-nucleotide ribosomal RNA is filed under the name uncultured Streptococcus sp. RNAcentral's name for it is "bacterial SSU rRNA". It matches the Rfam family "Bacterial small subunit ribosomal RNA", at positions 1047 to 1382 of the family's 1533-position model. The record is from RNAcentral. Lineage: Bacteria; Bacillati; Bacillota; Bacilli; Lactobacillales; Streptococcaceae.